UCAUGAUAGAUGAACAAGAACAAAAAAAAAAAACGUUGAAGACAAAAAAAAAAACGAAGCUCGGCCAUGGAGCAAUGUUAACCGAGAGGGAGAUUGGAGAAAAAGAAAAAUUUGAGGUGUGAAAUUGUUGUAAUGAUUAGCAAGGUUAAGAAGUCAAGUUGAUUAAGGCUAAAAGAGCGACGAGACGAACGGGUUACGAAUAGCCGCUAACAGGUAUGUAAAGCCUAACCUUUUUUUUGGCAUGACCUUUAUGGAACGGAUAAGUGACGUAUAUGUAUGACUCUAAAGAAAAUUCUAUUCUUAGAGCCACUAGGAUGACCAAUGUCUUUGACUUCCCUAAGUUAUUCCAUAUGGUUUGAUAUCUAUUUAUGAUGUUCGAAGAAUCCUAGUUGGUAUGUUUUCGAAUGUUGUUCGAAAGAUAAUUGAUAUGCCUAAGGUCCUUGAUAUAUAUUUUGAUACGUACAUAUGGUUCUAAAGACUCUAUUUGAUUUGAUCCAUAACGAUAUUUGAAAGUUGUCUAAUAUGAUUAUUACUUGAAUUUCCAAAAGAAAAUGGCUUCUGAAUCGCUUUUAGAAGGUUCUGUACUUCAAAAGCUCAUAACUUUCGUAUACUAAAUCGGAUUGACCCGAAACUUGUUUCUGAGCCUUCAGAUGUCGGUAAAUAUAUUUGUCCAUUGAGUCUUGGAAUUUAUUUAUUUAUAUGCAUAUAGUUUCUCACUACUCUACUCAUGGAUGCCUCAAUGCUUCCUUCACUGAGCCCGGGCCAGGAUAUGUUAUCACGCGUAUUCCACUGCAUUGUUCGCCGUGCCUCGAUGUGAGGGGGCAGGUACACAUGUACAUGGGUUGUGGAGUAUGCUGUGUCAUGUACAUAUAUUCUGAUAUGUGAUGAUAUGAUAUGAUAUGGCCAUCUGAUAUGUUAUGACAUGUGCACAUUCUGAUAUGAUAUGAUAUGUUACGGAGCUAUUCCCUACUCUGGAGUAUGCUGUGUUGUGGCGCCAGUGACGGGGUGGCGACCACGUUCUGUUCACCGAGUCCUAAAACGGGGCCGGAUAUGGCAUAUGAUUGACAUGCAUUAUCUAUGUUUUGUGAGUAAGCAUUUUUGAUAUUCUGGUUAUUACAUUCAGUUUCUGUACUUCCUGUUCCGGUUAUGAUUCUGUUUAUUAUGCUUCCUGUUUUACAUACUCAGUACAUAUUCCGUACUGACCCCCUUUCUUCGGGGGCUGCGUUUCAUGCCCGCAGGUACAGACGUUCGUUCAGGUAACCCGCCAGUGUAGGGUACUUAUUCUACUGUUUGGAGUACUCCUUUUGAUCCGGAGCUCAUAUUUUUGGUACCUAUCUUUUGUGAUACAUGUUUCUGUUUAUCUGAUUAUUUGGGGUACGGCGGGGCCCUGUCCCGCCAUAUAAUUCUGUCAUGGUUUGUAGAGGCCUGUAGACAUAUAUGUGGGUCAUGGGUUAUGUUUGUUCGAAUAUGUUUGUGAUUUGUGCCUUAAGCGGUCCCGUUUGCUAUUAUGGCCAAGACGGCCCAUAUGUUUGUAUAUGUAUGUAUAUCUGGGCGAUGUGUAUUCCGCCA
Molecule: long non-coding RNA, 1569 nt
Organism: Lycium barbarum (goji berry)
Lineage: Eukaryota; Viridiplantae; Streptophyta; Magnoliopsida; Solanales; Solanaceae
Exons: 2
Source: RefSeq, a predicted model, not a curated record